CUCUUCUAAAGCAUAUAAAAGUCUGAUAAGAGUCAAUAUACAUGAGAUACAAUAGUUUUUCCAACAUUUGAAUUCUGAAUUAUUUUAUCAUGUAGACAUAACAUCAUAGUAGUUCUUUAAAACAUAGUAUCAAUAGGACUUACCAUAACCAUUUUAAAAACAAUAUUCAUGGACUUCAAGAAUGAAGAAGGGCUUGCAGGCUCAAGUUCAUGGUUGCCUACUCUCUUUCUAGAUGGACAGUGAGACAUCAUUGACACAGCUGAGACUGUCUUUCAGAAGUUAUUACAUUAAGAAAACAUUGAAGAUGAAUAUUUUCUCAGGAUUUCUCUCGCUGCCUUUAGGAUCCUCCCCAUAUGGCCCUGCAAUCCCACUCUUGGGCAUCUAUCCGGACAAAACUCUACUUAAAAGAGACACAUGCACCCGCAUGUUCACUGCAGCCCUAUUCACAACAGCCAGGACAUGGAAACAACCCAAAUGUCUAUCGCCAGAUGAUUGGAUUCGGAAGAAGUGGAAUAUAUA
RNAcentral lists this long non-coding RNA (519 nucleotides) under Sus scrofa (pig). RNAcentral's name for it is "lncRNA (ENSSSCG00060010107.1)". Lineage: Eukaryota; Metazoa; Chordata; Mammalia; Artiodactyla; Suidae. The record is from RNAcentral.